This is a long non-coding RNA of Camelina sativa (false flax), 1690 nucleotides long. RefSeq lists it as uncharacterized. NCBI's taxonomy places the organism in Eukaryota, Viridiplantae, Streptophyta, Magnoliopsida, Brassicales, Brassicaceae. The record is from RefSeq and is a predicted model, not a curated record.
UCUUCUUCUCUCACACACCAGUUUCUUCUCUCUCAGGUGACUCCUGUUGUACUUCUUCCUGUAAGUUCAUUAGAUUCUUUUUCUGCUUGAUUUCUGCGUCAGCUGGUGAAACUGAUAGUCUUUUUUAUUCUUUACUCAGCUUUUUUUACCAAGUUAUCAUAUUUAGCCGUAUCGUUUUCCACUCUUACUUACAUAUGAGACAAGUUUGACUUUUACAAGAGAUUAUGUUUGGUUCGUUUGAGUUCCAAAUCCAAUCAAUCAGAUUACUAUGAUCCUUUGGAUAUCUUUGUCUUUUAUGGGGGUUUUUGUGACAUAGGGACAUGUGAUGUUGAGUUUAAGCCUAUAUAAUUAAAGGGCUUUUGAUCAAUUUUAAUCAAAGUUGAUUGCUUUUUGCUUAGAACGUCAAUACUAUUAAUGGGAAAGUUGGUUUCUUUGCCUUAGUCAUUUGCUUUUUAUGCAACUGACUUUUUCAGUUUGGUUGUUUCCAGAUUGUGAACAUCUCUGUGCCCUUGUAUCAUUUACGUUUAUGUGAAAGAAGUUUCUGGAAAUUGAGAAUCUAAGAGUAACAUGUUUUCGUCUAAUACGCUAUACGCUUAUAUAUAUAUAUAUAUAUAUACUAGGGUUAUCCCGUGGGUUUUUUUUAUGUAUUCCUUCGAUUAAUAUUAUGAAAUAAUCACUCUAUUACAAGUAUUACUUUGUUUUAUUGGCAAUGAUAUUUCUGGGGAAUAAAUACAAACAUUGACAAUGUAUGAUCCAUUUUUUCUAAUGUUAAUUGGGGGUUUCUUUUUAGUGAAAAACAUAAUGUUCUUAAAAUAUAUAGUCAAUUACCUAUAUAAGAAGUACAACCACCAUUUACAAAGAAUUUUGUUCCGAAUUUGUUUUAUCGAAUUUAUGAACUUAAAAUUUAAAAUCAAUCUUACUUUAAGCGUUUGUUAAUGGAGAAAAACAUCAGUUACUCUGGUUGUCACAUAGGCAUCAAUUAUCCUUCUAGUGUUUAUUACCACAAACUUACUUGCUUGCUUACUCUGAUUUUAAUCUUGAUUCGUCCAUCUACGUUCCUUACUCAUCCAUGACUAAUUAUUUAAUAUGAAAAUGAUUGAUUUCUUGAUCAUUUGAUUCUUCAUCUUAUAUGUUACUUUUGUAUAUUUUUUGUUUACACUGUUUACUUUUACAUUACAUCUAUGAUCCUUCUGGUCCGACCAACUCUUCGGUCUCGUUUUAUCCAUUUUGGCAACCUCGUGCUCAUAUGGCAACAACACAACCUUACAAUGCGGGUAACUGGAUUAUGGACAGUGGUGCGACACACCAUCUUACGUCCGAUUUGAACAACCUCGCAUUGCACCAACCCUGUACAGGUGGUGAAGAGGUCACCAUCGCCAAUGGUACAAGUUUGAAGAUCACGAACACUGGUUCUGGUGAGGGAUCUCAGCACGGGGGUCCGGUUGCUGCAAGGCAAGACUAGGAAUGAGAUGUAUGAGUGGCCGGUCAAAUUGCCAUUUGCGACGUCUCUAUUUGCUUCACCUUCUCCAAAAACGGACAUCUCCUCUUGGCACUUGAGACUUGGCCAUCCUUCUUUUUCUAUUUUACAAACACUUAUUCAGAAAUUUUCAUUACCUGUUUCCCAAUCUUUACACAAACAUUUGUCUUGUUCUGGCUGUUCCAUUAAUAAAAAUCACAAACUUCCAUUUUA